CGACAACUGACGUUGAGGCACGAAAGUGUGGGUAGCAAACAGGAUUAGAUACCCUGGUAGUCCACACUGUAAACGAUGGAUACUAGGUGUAGGGUGUAUUAAACGCUCUGUGCCGCCGCAAACGCAUUAAGUAUCCCACCUGGGGAGUACGACCGCAAGGUUGAAACUCAAAGGAAUUGACGGGGGCCCGCACAAGCAGUGGAGUAUGUGGUUUAAUUCGAUGCAACGCGAAGAACCUUACCAGGGCUUGACAUAUACAGGAAUAAUUAAGAGAUUAAUUAGUUCUUCGGAACUUGUAUACAGGUGGUGCAUGGUUGUCGUCAGCUCGUGUCGUGAGAUGUUGGGUUAAGUCCCGCAACGAGCGCAACCCCUAUGUUUAGUUGCCAGCAUGUAAAGAUGGGAACUCUAGACAGACUGCCGGUGAUAAAUCGGAGGAAGGUGGGGAUGACGUCAAAUCAUCAUGCCCUUUAUGUCCUGGGCUACACACGUACUACAAUGGCCGUGACAGAGAGAAGCAAUAUAGUGAUAUGGAGCCAAACUCAAAAAGCGGUCUCAGUUCGGAUUGAAGGCUGAAAUUCGCCUUCAUGAAGCCGGAAUUGC
This 600-nucleotide ribosomal RNA is filed under the name uncultured bacterium. RNAcentral's name for it is "bacterial SSU rRNA". It matches the Rfam family "Bacterial small subunit ribosomal RNA", at positions 734 to 1335 of the family's 1533-position model. The record is from RNAcentral.